This 264-nucleotide ribosomal RNA is filed under the name uncultured archaeon. RNAcentral describes it as "partial 16S ribosomal RNA". It matches the Rfam family "Archaeal small subunit ribosomal RNA", at positions 716 to 982 of the family's 1478-position model. The record is from RNAcentral.
ACAGUCACACAUUAGACUACCCUGUAGUCCUGGCCGUAAACGAUGUAGACUUGGUGUUGGAAUGGCUCCGAGCUGCUCCAGUGCCGAAGGGAAGCUGUUAAGUCCACCGCCUGGGAAGUACGGUCGCAAGACUGAAACUUAAAGAAAUUGGCGGGGAGCACCACAACGCGUGGAGCCUGCGGUUUAAUUGGAUUCAACGCCGGACAUCCCACCAGGGGCGACAGCAGAAUGAUGGCCAGGUUGAUGACCUUGCUUGACAAGCUG